AUGGAAGAAAAGCGUCAGAUGACAGUGACAGAGGGCUCAUCGACGGGCGAUGAAGGGACGUGGCGAGCUCUAUGGAAGCUUAACGUUCUGCCUAAGAUUAAGGUAUUUUGGUGGCGAGUGCUAAAGGGUUUUCUACCCAGCUAUGGAGAACUGAAGCGUCGACAUAUAAAGCAACUACCAAAUUGCCCAAUGUGUGGCAACGAUAAUGAAAUGCUGAUUCAUUCAUUGAUGGAAUGUGACCAUGCUAGACGCUUCUGGGAGGCGGCUGAGCGUUUCUUUGACAUAAGCACGCCGAGGCUCCAUCCAGGGACUUGGUCCCGGGAUAUACUGGACCAUAACAUGAUAAAGAAGGAGAAGGCGGCAAUUAUGACCACAGUGAUGUGGGCGGUGUGGCACUCGAGAAAUAGCUAUACACAUGGAGAGCAGCAGUACCAACCAUUGCAAUCCAUGAGAACCAUAGAGGAGAUUGUUCGAGCCCUUGAAGUACCAUCCACCGGUAGAAUUCAACCUGCCAUCCUUCCAACAUGGCAGCCGCCGGAUGUGUGGUGGGCAAAAAUAAAUGCAGAUGGAGCUACGGACUCGGAGCAUGGCAAAGGUGGUGCAGGUUUUGUCUUACGAGACCACCAGGGGGCGUUUGUGAGCGCGGGGUGCUCACGAUAUGAUGGAAUUUCAGACCCGCUCACGAUCGAGCUUCUCGCAUGCAGAGACGCGCUUGCAGCAGCGCAGAACUCAGGGCUACAGUACGUGGAGAUGGAGACAGAUUGCCAACAAAUCCAGAACCUAUGGGAAUCUCCUCAGAAGUCAAGUUUUUUCCACCUCAUUAGAGAGAUGAGGGAUAUGUGUAAUUUCUUUCAGGGAUUCAAGCUUCGGUAUGCUUGCCGGCGGACUAAUUCGGGCGCCCACCGUGUAGCGAGGCAUGCGUUAAAUCUUUUUGUAUCUAUGAUUAUGUACAAUGUAAUCCCUGGGUGGCUGACUGAAACUUUACAGUCAGACAUGCUAGCGCCUGAUAAAUAA
This 1014-nucleotide ribosomal RNA is filed under the name Triticum aestivum (bread wheat). Its description in RNAcentral is "partial small subunit ribosomal RNA". Lineage: Eukaryota; Viridiplantae; Streptophyta; Magnoliopsida; Poales; Poaceae. The record is from RNAcentral.